CCAAGGUGGCCGGCAACCGGUAGCCAGCACCAAAAUCGUGAGCAGUAUCGUUGCGAUUGUCUCGAACCACGCUCCGGACAGCAUCUUCCAAUUGAAAUCCUGCACCAGGAGAUGAAAUGAUCGGAAAUCGCGCAAUCGGGACGUUAUUAGGGAUUUUCACGAUCUGACAAUCAGACAAACAGAGAAAACAGCGUUGGUCUCGCGAAUCGUCCAGUGGGCCAUGCCCGUCCAAGGCUGGCAGAUACCGAAAGGGUCCACUCAAAAAAAAUGGUCUUGCAAUUAUAGUAAAAUUUAUCUAGAUACGAGAAAUUAGCUGAGAUGGAUAAAUGAUUAACAAACGCUGCGAUAUCGCAUGGAUCUUGUAUUUAAUCAAUAUAAAUGACAGAGACAGAAUUUCCACCUGAAUUAUUUGUAAAAUUUAGCAAGGAACUUCCUCCCUUUCUUUCUCUGUGCCGCCCAUUCAGAUUAAAGCUAGUCACGUUUCUUAUAACAACUGACUGUGGCAGACGAAAAAGACUAGCGACAGGAGACAAACGAAUAUACAAUCCUCACACCGACCUAAAUUUGCCUGCGGAUAUUGCUGAAAUGCUACUGCAAAUUCUACGUAUCACGAAGAAUCUUCCAGCAGAUAUAAAAGACAGCGGUAAAUUCCAACUGUGACAUUUAGAGUUCCACCUGGAUCAGCAAAACAAUUUUUUGAGUGGGGUAUCGAGAGACAAAAGAAAGGAUGAUUUGAAUGGUACUCGCGAAACAAAAUAAAGAGUACCCACGGUAAGCGCUCUCCCCCUCUGUGGUACGGCCGAUAGAACGACAGGUGUUCGCUUCUGGCAAGCCGCAGAUUUCGCGCGUCCGACACUCGCUCGAGUCAGUCGCGAUCGACGAGGGUUUCUCGCGGCGGUUUCGCGCGAGAAUUCAACGAGGCGUCACUCGCGCUUCUUCGAUUCAGCACUAGGAUACGGUGCGAGACGGUGGUGCGAGAGUAGGAGGAGCCGCGAAGCUCACGCAUUUUCGCGAUCGCUAAUUCUCACCGAUGGCGGAAAGAGGGAAAGAAAGUGAGAGGGACGAAGGGAGAGGUACGAGAGGAAAAGGGGAGUGCAGAGUGCAGAGUGGACGACGGAGUAAAGAGCGAGAAAGAGCGGACAGCAGCAGCCGCUCGCGGAUCUUUUCGCGACUGACUGAGUGCCCCAGUGUUAUUUGCAGAGACCGCGAUUCUCUUCUAUUUACAAUUCACCGAUAACGCGUGUUGCCCCGAUGAUCCCACUCACUUUCCUCACCUCUCUCUCUCCCUCUCCCUCUUUCUCUCCCUCGUCUUCUCUCCGCCCCGCUCAUUCUGAGUCACCGGGGCUCGGUAUCGGAGCUGUUACACGGAUCGGGGAGAAAAUAGUUAAACGAUAUCGCGAUAACCGUGUAAUUGCGGGCCGCACUUGCGAUGCCGUACAGUAAGUAACGAGGGGUGAAGGUUCGAACGAUCUAUAUACAUAUAUUAUGUACCAUGUGUAUGCACGCAUGUAUGUUACGCAUGUAUGUAACGCAUACACCACUCGACGACAUUCGCGACUCGGCCCGAUGAUUUGCAACGCGUAAAGCUCAGAUACGCGUCGCUCGCGAAAACAGUGUCCAGGGUAGCAUUCCGUUAAGGGACGUCUACAUUGGAAGUAAAUAGCAAGAAGUAGGAAGUAAGAGUAAGAAAUUCACCAACCACGGUCGAAUGUGAGAAGAAUAAUCAACUAUGAUUGGUCAAUUUCUUAUUCUUACUUCCUACUUCUUACUGCUUACUUCCAAUGUAGACGUUCCUUUAGACUCGUGGACCUCAGAAGGAUAUUCCGUAGGACCGCAACCGCGUAGUCUUCCUCGUCGCGAAAUCCCAUAACCCAAUACCAUCAAUAACCCAAGGCGGAUUCGACUUUGUAGAUUCCACGUCCAGGUAAAUCGGAGGGAGCGCUCGUACGAAACACAGUAGACAGCGGUUGUAGUUCGGAAAAGUAGAGAAAAUCGCCGGAGAGGAAAACAUCGGAGGUAAGAGAUAGGCAGGCGAUCUGCCGCAUUCCACGCCCGCUUCUUGUAGCGGUUUCCACGAGGUAAGUUCCGAACCUCUUGACCGGCUACAUUGUUCGUUCAUUAAUGACGUUAAUUAAGCACACCGCUACGUAAGAGCCGUCUCGCGCUCUGGCACGGUAUCCUGUGCUUACCUGCCGGCGAUGGGAGUCUUCAGGGACGGUAUCUCCCUAAGAACGUAUUUGCUGUGUGUAUGUGCACAUGUGUGCGCACAUCGCGGGGGAAAAUUAACUCCGUACGUUUCCGUAAGCAAAUUUGAAAGCAUGUCCUUUUGCGAUUUUUUUUAUUAACUGGUUGCUCCAAAAGAGAAUACCAAGUACUUUGUUGAUCUUACAAGAAAAUUUCUACAUUAUAUUAUUAUUAUAUAUUCUAUGUUAUAUAAAACAGAAAAUGUCUAUCUAUUUCUUAUAAAAUUUCAACUCUUUGACCGAUCAGGAUGAAAUUUUGCACGGUUACUGUCUAGAACCCUGCGGAAAAUAUAGCCUACGUAAAGCCUGGACGCAUAUCCCACUCUCCUCUUUCCCUGAUUUCAUCCCCUUGACACUCUGUGAUAAUUUAAGUUUAUAUGUUCUAGAUAUAAGAAGCUCGGAUAGUUUAUAAGCUAAUUAUAUUAUUAUUAUAAAAAUUUCGUAAAAUUCGCGCAAGCUAAUUUGCGAUCAAUGCCGGCUACCAGAAGCGCGAAUUCAAUGUCACGUGAAAUAAAUCUGCCACAGUCGCGAUCGGCCUUCUUCCUUUUGGUUCACCUAUUUGUGCAGGGUCCCGCGUGCAGCGCGCGAACCUGUUUAAUCUACGCUUUACUACGAAUGGACUAUUCUUAGCUCGCGCGCGAACCAGAACUGGCGAUUUUCCGAUCGGAAUCGAGCUUUGGAUCGAAUCUCUAAUAAAGGUCUAAUAAAGAGCGGAGCGAAACGUAUCGCUUUACAUAUCUCGCGGAACCAGUCCUACUGGCGAAAAGAAAGAAGAUAAAGUGCCCGAUGCGGUUGUCGAAAGCUCCCUUUUCUCUCUUUACCUUUCUACAUAUCUCUCCCUAUACGAUCUCUAUUUUCCGCUGCGAUACGCGCGCGGGCUCUCGCUGAAAGUGAACCAUGCGCGCGAGAAAGAAUCGCGGAGACGCCCGAGAAGGAAAGAACGCAGAUCGGCUGCGAAUUAUCGCCGGGCAAUCUGUCUUGAGAAAAAAAUAACAACGGCGUAAUGGAAAAAUUGGAUAACCAUGUAUGUAAUUUAAUGUUUUACAUAAUAGAAUGGCUCGCCUCGUCCCGGAAAAAUUACAUGCGGCCUACAUAAUAAUUAGAUAAUAAUCGCUGAAUUAAUAUAUGUAGCGUGAACACGCGUGCGCGUCGCACAUGCAUAGAUUCGCGUGGCACCAGAUGAGAUAUUUUCGUCCCAUUAAAUUGGACAAAUUUCACGCUGUGGUGCACGCACGCACGCACGCACGCACGUACCGGGCUCGUAUUCGCGGCGUAGAUAACGAACGCGCGGCUAAUUGUGUGCGAAGACUUUGGAAUGGCAGAAUGUCGCCGCCGCCUGCCGAAGUAAAUAAAGUAUUAUUGCUCCGGAGCAAUUGAGAAAGCGCGAGAGACGAAAGAGAGAGAAUGAGAGUGAGAGAAAGGCGGGAGAGAGAGAAAGAGGAAAAAAAGAGAGAGAGAAAGAGAGAAGAACGGGGAACGGGGAAAAUAAUCGGCUGGGAUGCGCUCGAUUACGACUCGUCACGACGACGACGAUCACGACAACGACGACGACGACGACGACGACGACGACGACGAUGCUGAUGAUGAUGAUGAAAACGACGGCGGUGGCGACGACGACGACGCUGAUGAUGACGAUAACAACGACGACGACGACGACGACGUAACUAGAUUGUUAUCUUUUCCUCUGACAAACGCGUUUCUCUCCAGGAGCGCGAGCGCAAAGAGUGUGCGUCGUGUAACUUAGUAGUUUAUAAUUUUAUAUCAAUUGCCUGCUACGUAAGACCACUUUCAGUCAGCUGUGACGUGUAAUGACAGCCUCCUUAGCUCGUGCGGGCACGGUUUUCUCUCGAGGAAAGUGCCUCUCGACGCAGCGGCUAGAUAAUUUUUGAGGGUAUACGAUCGUACACGGUAUUUCCGUGGGUUUCAUGCGCUAAAAAUUAAGAUCGGGAAUCGCGAAACGUCUAGCGGUAUUCGUACGGUAUUUGUAUACAAACUGCGUACAGGACGCACACAGCAGCUUGUCCUGCAAUAUUUACUCUUCUUGUCAAGUCGGCCGCGUGCUACGGCGCCAUCGGUAGACAUUGCAGGUUCGCUCUUAUGUUUUCAAGUGAGACAGUUUGUAUACAAGCGACUUCCGCACAACAAAUAAAUCGCUCGAGGUAAAUUCGACACUCUCUCCCUCUUUCUCUCUUUUUCUUCAGAGCAACCAUCUGCGUAUUCCGUCCGUGUAAGAGUCUGAUUUCGUUACCGGACAAGACAAUGGUUGCAAAGCUGCUGUCACGCCUUCUGGUAGCAUCAUUCAAAUAUUCGCUAUUUAAACAUCACACUUAGAAAUAUCGUAAUUUAGACAUGUAAACUGCACGCGCGUCUUCGGAUGUCUUGUGUACAGUUUUCCCAACAAAAUAAACAUUAUUAUUAUGAUAUCCAUAUAAAAGUGCAACUGCACCUUUGCAUGCACAAAUCGAAGUUAGAAAAUUAAGAAAAAAAAAUGGUCAGUUUUGUUAUUUUGUUAGAACUUUAUGACGGUCGAUUCUACCUUUUUUUCAGUCACCAAUGGAAAAUCUCCCGGAAAACUGGUUCAUUACUUCGGCUUAUUAAGUAACUUAGUAAAGUUAACAAUUAGUAAUCCGCUAAUGAGCAAUUCGCGGAAAUUUGCGGUGCGCACGGCGAUUUUUCGCCACGGUCGUCAAUUAAAGGAACGACACCCCGAGAGGAGCUUGAAUAAUGUUGUGCGCGCGCCUCGUUAAUAAUACAGCUACGACUGUAAUCUAUUCUCGGGCGCCGCUCAAUCAUAAAUUUUAUUGCUUAGCGUUACUCGGCGUUUUUUCCCGCAAUACGUGUGUGCGUGUGUGGGUGUGUGUGUCUAUGUGUGUGCGUGCGUUGCACGGUAUCUCCACGAGCGGCUAUCAGCUAGGUAUGAAAUGAAUUAAUUACGUUCUAUUUUCGCCCGUAACACAUUGUAUUUAUGUAUCCGCGGAUCAUUAAACACGAUUUUCUCUAUGUAACGGUUCGGCUCAGAGAGAGAGAGAGAAAGAGAGAGACACGACGAACUGCGUAUCCGCGUUAAAACACACCGUCCCGCUCCCGACUAAGAUCGGCGAGGAUUUCCCGCCUGGAAAAUCGUCUCACGCAAUCGUCUCAUCUUCUCGAUCAAGUGAACUAGAUCGGUAAAAAUUUCGUCGCGCAUAUGUAACGCUUAAUACGAGACGCGAUAGCACUGUGCGUUCUCUCGCAAACCUCAAGUAGAAAAAUUUCCAGCAAAAACUGGUCACUAGCCCGGUUAGUUUUUACUGGCUAGGAUUUAUUAGACAGUAACUAUUCGAAAACUAUCGACAGGAAAAUACUGACCAGUAUUUCUUGGCUCGUUACCGGCUCGAAAACUAAGACAAUAAAAAAUGGUAGUUAAAUUCUGGACAGUUUUUAUGUUCAAUAAAAAUUCGAGAAGCAUUUACUAGAUAAAAGAAAAAAAUUAUUAAAAUUAAUAAUUAAUUAUCAUUAAUAAUUAAAAAUAAAUUAAAAAUGAAGCUGCGAUAUCAUCUCAAUAAUGAGUAAAUUUGCGCGUGAAAAGAUUCUAUCUUCUGAAACACAAGUUUCGCAUUAUUUUUAUAUUGAAUAACAAAAUAUAAUGUCCUCUAUAAAAUCGAACGAGCACUUUGCAGAGUUUUGUACAAAAAGAUGUUUGCUAGUCAGCAACUGACUAGUUUCACUGUCCAGUUACUAAUGAGGCAAGCAUCGCCUAAACUGACUCGAAACCAGCUCUAGUAACCAAAAUUGAAUAAAUUAAAAUUCCUGGCCGAGCUUAUGUCGGCCAGGAAGAGGUCGUUUUUUUCACUCGGGUUAUUGGUAUUGCUCGUUGGUAUCGUCGCGCGAUACAACGAGGCAGAGAGGCGGCGUGUUUACCGAAAGUGAAAUUGACAAAGCGUGAGCGCAAAUAUCGGCGCCCCUUCCCGGUGCGUCGCGGAAGAAACGCACGAAUCCAGACGCUGGCGACUGUAUUAUCGCGCCGGGCGACCUAUUUGUCGGACCGGCGACUAUUUGCGUUCGAUAACCCACCGAUAAGUACUUUCCCUACUUGUAUUCGCACCGCGAUCCGGGAGCGGCGUAAAUAACACACGCUCGAUCAAGGAAGUCUCGGAACGAGCGAAGAGCGUCAGCGAAAAGGUAGCAGCAGGAGCGGCGCUCUCGUUCCCCGCGAGAUUCGCGCUCGAAUUUCGCCGGCCUAGGCGCUCUUUUCGGCAGUUACGUAACGAGGAACGCACGAGCUCGAGAGAGGAAGCUGCCGACAGAAUUGAAUUUGUGCGAUCAAAUGGGGGUCUAAUUCUUAGUUGUGAGACUUAAGGCUCUUCAAGCGAAUCCGCUUGCAACUCCGAGAUAAUUAAAAUUCGUUUCAAUUCAAGUAAAUUGACGUGAAAUUUACUUGAAGUCAAUUUUCACGAGAAGCGUCCUUUCCGCGCACAACUCUCUCUCUCUCUCUCUCUCGUCCUUCGGAUUCCUCAACCUCCCCGCGAUUCUCCACGAUCGUUUUCGAACAAAGCAACUCGUCGGCAUCGCUGUGUGUGGAAGCCACCUCCAAAUACGGUCCUUACGAUUUCGAGUUUCCGGAACACGCGGUAAACACGCGGGUAUAUAAAGGUGAUGCGCGCGCUAUGCGCCGUGCACAGAGACCGCGCGAAUUGCACUCGCCGUUUCCGUAUAACGUUGUUCCUCCACCUCUUCCUCCUUCUUCUCUUUCUCCUCUUCUUCUUCCUCUUCUUCAUCUUCGUCGUCGUCGUCAUCGUCGUCGUCGUGACGUGGUCAUUCGCGAAAUUGCGAUUCCCGUUUCGCGAUUACCGACGUUUACGGUACGGUCUAUUCUCCGGCCGUGUACGUAAUCGUUCGCGCAUCGGAGCAAGUUACCACGCGUGUCAACGGCACUUAACAUUCCGCAAGUAAAAUGAUUGACCGCCGCGACCAUCUCGAUCCGCGAAUGACCGGUCGCUCGACAUUGCGAGCGCCGGCAAAUUAAAUGAAGGGCUGGCCGGAAAAGCAUCGGCGAAGCGCACACGGCAGCGGACACCGCAGGAAGAAAGCGUGACAAAUUUUUAAAAAGAAAAGAAAAAAACGAGAAAUCCAGGAGAGAAAGAAACAAACGCGCUGAUUUUGAUCGGAAAAACGAAAGUUCGACGAUCAAAAUGCAAAAAUAAACGGUUUCGAGACGCGCUUUGUUCUACUCGCGAGUACACAAAACUGUUAUUCAAGGUUAACGAUCGCGAAUGAACAUUUAAACAUCUACCGUGUACUUGAUGAAAAAACGUCUGUUUAGCAAAAGGUGACAACAGAUACAAACAUUAUGUUUUUGUAUCUGUCGUUUUUCGCUAAAGUUAUCUCUUUUUUUCUUCUUCUUCUUCACCGGAAUCGUCACCUUAUCCCUUUCGUAGGACAAAUUCAAAUUCAACGUUUCCGUUUAGUCAAGUCAUUGACUUGAAAUAUUUUAUAUUGGCGUGGAGAAUGAGCGAGGCGAAUGAUCGGGCAUCUCCAUCCGACUAAUCACGAUGACCAAUCCUGAUUACACACUUUUGCACCUUCACGCGCGUGUAGCCCGAAUAACCCGUCGGAGAAGUCUCAAUACGAAUUCGAAUCCGGAUCGAUCUGAAGUCAAGUCCGAGUCGAUCAACGACUUCAAUCUCGUUCUUUGCGUGAGACCUCCUCGCCGACGUUUCCUUUCUUUCCUUUAGAACGCAACGCGGAAUCCUCAGCUCGGGUCCACGCGAAUCGCGGAAGACCCAUUCGCGCAACAUGCUCGAGCGCACUUUUGAUCGAUCGAUCGUAGCUUUCCGUCGCGCGGAAAAUUCAAGCCCGCUUUCGGCCGUUGGAUCGCACUCUUGACGCGUAUUCGAACACCAAGUACGCCCCUUGUAUUCCAAGCUUUAGCUUGAGAAUCCGCGCGCAAAGGCGUGAAGAGAACUUACGACCCCGGAUUUCCACGAGGCGGAAAAUUUGAGCGCGCUUCCGCGUCGCACGCACGCACGCACGCACCUUCCCACAACGGUAGAACAACAACAACAACGACGAUGAAGACGACGACAUCCGCGUUAAUUGCCAUAAUUACCAUGACGUUGUAGCUCUGGCACGACCGACAACACCUCGCACCUUGUCUCGCCUGAAGAUCCUUCUCUUCUUCUCUAUAUCGAUCAGCGGAUCGUGCGCAUAGCCCGUGCCCGUCGCGCGCGCACUAUCUCUCCGGCGACUUAUCCACGCCGAAUUAUUCUCUCCUCUUCGUGUACACGCCGCGGUUCGGCGACGAUCGUCCCGAGCCGAUCGGCCGAUGCGCGCGAUCGACGCGAUCGGGAGUCUCACGCUCUCGCUCUCGCGCUCGCGUGCGCGCACCGCGGACCCGGAAAUCCCGAACGCCUCGCUCGCGUGCUCGUGCCACAGGUGGUGGUGGUGGUGGUGGUGGUGGUUGAUGGCGAUGGUGCUGGUGGUGGUGGUGGUUGUUGGUGAUGGUCGGGUGCCGGGAUAAAAACGGACAGACGGCCGCAGGAAGGCACACACGGGCCGUUCAUCUUAUAGGGUGUCUCGUAAAAAGCGGGAUCGCCGCGGCAGGAAUGCGUUCUUCCUCGCGAGCGAGCGCGCGACCGAUCAGUCGAUCGAUCGAUCGAUCUCGCAUCUCUCUCUCUCUCUCUCUCCCUCCCUUCCUCCCUCCCUCUCUCUCCUCCUCCGUCCUCGCCUUUCGCUUGACGAAAUUUUCAUAGGAAAGCCGACUACCGCGCCGGGAACGCGAUCUCGCGCGUCACGCUUUUCGCGGCAUUUCCCGCGGUAUUUUCUUUUCUUUUCAACGCUGUGCGAGCUUAAGGACACACGCAGGUGGAACUUUUCCCUCCUUAUUUCUGUCUCUCUCUCUCUCUCUAUCUGUCUAUCUAUCUUUAAUUGCGCUUACGUUCUGGCGCGGCACCUGCAGUGUUUCGAAAUAUGUAACAGCGUGUGUAAGCGAUAGCGUGAUUAAGUUGCUAUUUAUUUGUGUUAGGAUGACGUAUAUCACGUGGAAGAAAUUAAAACUUCGCACGGUUAAGUAGAAGCUAAGCACGCCGGGCGAUUACCGUUGGAUUCUGCAGAGAAACGUUCUCUUCUCUAUCAUGUCAGAUAAUGAACUCUAAUCACAAUGUUUGUAAUUAACGCAAAUUACGUGUAUUGACACAGAAACGUGCAAUUUUACAAGAUUGCAACAACGUUCGCGUCUGAAAACUUAGUACGAUUAAUCUUAUCGUGUCUCGUCGUUUAUUCAGACACACCGACAUCCUGGUUCGAGAUUUAUGAGGGUCCUUCGAAAGACGUGAGUUGUCGCAUGUCCUUGACAAUCUUGACGAGGUUGUAAUGCUUGACGGCCGCGUGGUGCGCAAUCAGAGCGCGAAACGCGUUAAAAUGUAUCGAGGAAAUCACUUACGGACUUCAAGCGCGUUAUCAUCCCCGUCGUUGUCGUCGUCGUCGUCGUCGUCGUCGUCGUCGUCGUCGUCGUCGUCGUCGUUGUCGUGAUGGUGGUGGUCGAGGUCGAGAUUCAGCUGUUGGCACUAAUAACACGUAACCGGAUUAAAUGCGCGCGACUUUGCGCGCGACACCUACCGCGGGAAAAUUGAGGGAACCAGAGGGAAAGAGAAAGAGCGAAAAGCAGCCGCGUGGUCGUCUGCGAACUGCCGCGACGACGACAACGGUGAACGUAUAUACCCUGCUCGUCGAGCGGCCGCGGCGGCACUGAUCCCAAAAAGUUCCUCGGGAACCCUCGCGUUUUCCAAAAACUCCGAAAGCGCUGGCAGGGGUGGAGGAGGUGGAAAGACCGAGUCGGCAGUCGAUGGAGGUGGAGAGACGCUGCGGAGGAGCAGAAGGAAGAAGUGGAGGACAGGGAGACCGAGGAACGAGCUGGUUAAGAAGAGAGGGCCGUGGAUCACAGACGGAUGGACGGAGAGGGACACGCGGAUGCCCGGUACCAAGGGAAGGGAGGCAAAGCCGCGGGCCCGGACUCGAGAGUGAGAAGAGAAGCGGCGCGAGAGGCACCAGACUGUGAAGGAAGAGCGGAGAGCGCGAAGAGGAAGAAGAAGAGGCGCCGAGGAGAAAACGAGAGAGAGAGAGAGAGAGAGAGAGAGAGAGAGAGAGAGAGAGAGCUAAGAGGAGAAGAGGAACGCGUGUCCGGCGAAUGGAGCUUUAAUCGUCGCUAAUUGCCGUAUUGUUCAGCGGAUCGAUCGGAUUUAUGAAUGGUGGCAGCGAGCGCGCGAGUGGACACUAGCCAUAACUAAAGAGAUCGAAGAGGAGGAAGAAGAAGAUGAUGAUGAUGGUGAUGAUGAUGAUAAUGAUGAUGAUGAAGAUGAUAAAGAAAGAAAAGACAGAGAUCCCCAUUUCUCUCUCUCUCUCUCUCUCUCUCUCUCUCUCUCUCUCUCUCUCUCUCUCUCUCCGUGUCUCUUCCUCGAGAAGAAACGGGAUGCUUGAGGCCCUGUCGGGUUCGUCUCGACACUCUCGGAGACGAACUCUCUUAUCUCCUCGUCCUCUCUGUUUACAUGCCCCGUCGUGCCCUGUCCGGUCCCGCGACAUGGUUGGCUGCUACGCUGGUGGGGCCCAUGGGUUCCAGUGGGAACCCACGAUCGCGGUGGGGGUUCCGGAUGACGGACUGCCCGGAACGGAUAGCAGCAGAUGGCGCUGAACGUCCCUGCGACGAGGAAGAUUCACGUUGCCGCUGAUCGGCGAGAUGAUACUCGGCAUCCGCUGUGCACGGGAUGCUAUUUGACAUAAAAGAGGUGCAUUCGCUCUGGGGAACUGUUACCGGGAAAACUCCAACACGGCUUAUUUCCCAAGAGAGGACCGCGGCGCGGCGAUAAAGACGCCGAUAAAAGAAGGCCUGUACGGUUCGAGGGUUAAAUAUUCAUGUCCCGCCGAUAUCAUAAUAGUGUAAGAUGGCACGGUGUGUCCGGAGUGGAACGGACGAGACCGCAUAGAACGGGCUAGACCGGGUCAGGGGGAAAUGAUGUAGCUCUAUCGCGUGUAGGGGGCGUGAACACGUGGAAUGAGACGUCGAUUGGAACUCGUUUCGAAUCGAACAAAAUAAAACGGUCGUGAGCGCGCCGGGACGGCAUAGGCCGCGCGAGAGAUACGGUAUGGUAUAUGAGGAAGUAUACACGAAACACCGUAGAGUCUCUGGAUACGAAGAGUCUCGCUGUUCCGAGCCGAGGUGAGUAUUCGAAAUCGCCGCUCGCGCGAAGGAAACGUCAUUUUUCCGCGAAAUAUUGAACGCUACUGAUCCGUCUCGAACGCGCAUAACGGGUGAAACGCGCGACGCGCCGUUCCAUUUUAUUCGAUAGUAAGCACCACCGAGGUGGUUCUCGCAACUUUGUAGAGCGCGUUCGGUAGCAAUGUGUGGGCGCCCGACUAUAUGCGUAUAAAUAAAUGUAAAGUAUACAUAUAUUAACGACGGGAGCGCGCGCGCGCGCGCACGAUUGGGUUAUUCUCGAAGUGCACGGUGGUACGUGUCGUUCGUGUUUCUCCGAUUGCGUAUACGCCUGGCCGGAGCUAAGUUUCCUUAACUAGGUUCAAAAAUGCGCCGCAAAAUGACUAGCGAUUUAAUAAGCGACACAAUCGAUUUCUACGAUCUAACGCGACCUCCUUUUUAAACGGCGAUUCGACCCAACCGGCCGAGGAAGUAUCGCAAUAUGACGGUUUUAACCCCGCGCCGUUCCGUUAGCGUGACUUUUUUUAACCCGUUUUCAUUUUGCAAUAUCUAAGUAAGUAGGUGUCGCUCCCGAUACGCAAAUCUCUCGAACGGCCUUUCGUGCGCGUGCGCGCGUGUACGCGCGGUGACAUUGUCAAGUUCCAAACGUUAGAACUUUUUUUCAGCCGUACUUCGCGCCGUGCGCAACUUCGCUUAGAAACCAGUUUUUCUAGUUCCCCCAUUUGAACGAAUGUUAGUUAGUUGGUGGAGAUUUCUUUUUUCUCCACUUCUCUCUCUCUCUCUCUCUCUCUCUCUCU
This is a long non-coding RNA of Odontomachus brunneus, 12227 nucleotides long. RefSeq lists it as uncharacterized. NCBI's taxonomy places the organism in Eukaryota, Metazoa, Arthropoda, Insecta, Hymenoptera, Formicidae. The transcript has 3 exons. The record is from RefSeq and is a predicted model, not a curated record.